GGGCGUGGCUCCCCGCGCACGAACAAAGCCGGGGGCCCGGGGUGCGCCAGGGGGGCGCCCGGGACCUCUGCAGGGGUGCACAGGGGCGCACACGCGGGCCGGGAGCACCUAAGGGCCACCGGCUCCCCGCCAAGUGUCUCCAACUACCGGAGUCUGUGAGUUUGAAAACACGCUGCAUUUCGCCUCUGGCCUGGAGGCUUGGAGGUGUCCUGUUUUCUAUCGGCCAGUGCAGCGUGUGGACCCUGGGCCUGGGCACACAGGAGGCUCUUCUUGGGCAGCAAAGGGAUGCUGGAGCUGCUGCAGCCAUUUUGGCACCUUGAGGGCCACCUUCCUUGGCUCAAAAUGAAAAUUUCCAUCAUCUUUUGCAGAUGCUCUGAGAGCAUCAAGAAGCUCUAAGCUCCAGAAUAAAAAUUAAAUUAAUUGAAGAAA
This is a long non-coding RNA of Leptonychotes weddellii (Weddell seal), 429 nucleotides long. RefSeq lists it as uncharacterized. The record is from RefSeq and is a predicted model, not a curated record. NCBI's taxonomy places the organism in Eukaryota, Metazoa, Chordata, Mammalia, Carnivora, Phocidae.